RNAcentral lists this ribosomal RNA (253 nucleotides) under uncultured bacterium. RNAcentral's name for it is "partial 16S ribosomal RNA". It matches the Rfam family "Bacterial small subunit ribosomal RNA", at positions 524 to 776 of the family's 1533-position model. The record is from RNAcentral.
UACUGGGGGGGCAAGCGUUGUUCGGAAUUACUGGGCGUAAAGGGCUCGUAGGCGGCCAACUAAGUCAGACGUGAAAUCCCUCGGCUUAACCGGGGAACUGCGUCUGAUACUGGAUGGCUUGAGGUUGGGAGAGGGAUGCGGAAUUCCAGGUGUAGCGGUGAAAUGCGUAGAUAUCUGGAGGAACACCGGUGGCGAAGGCGACAUCCUGGACCGGUAUUGACGCUGAGGCGCGAAAGCCAGGGGAGCAAACGGG